AUAAAUAACAAAGUAGUAACCAAGGGAUUUAUUCUCAUUAGAUAGCCAUGAAUAAAUAAUAUCAAGAAUAUAAUCAUCUAAGCAUCUUACAGAUCAUUCGAAAUUUCGUUUGUUUGACAGCUCUUUUAAAACACACUGAAUAGAUAGCAUUUUCAAAAACGCGAGCAACCAACAGAACAGAUAAAAAUUUUCCAUUUGUAUAAAAAUAGUAAAGUGAUAUUUAUACAAAGGCAAUAGAAGAAAUAGCCCGUGCCAUUCAAAUCAAUCGAGAUUGUUAAGCCAACUAACAGUUGCAAUUUUAAACCAGUUGGGUUAAUAAAAGAUUAAAAUUAGGUUUUUAGCCAAACGAAAUUUUAUAAAACACUCGGCUGUCCGAAAAGUUGUUGGAUUGCGAUUAAUUUUUCCGGUAAGUUUAAGCUGUGUUCUAAUUUAUCUGUUUAACCUGAAGUCAAGAAAUUUUGUAGUGGAAUAAUUCUUUUCCUUUUACAUAAACGAAGUACCUCAUCGUGCGAACCGUAGAAUGGUUUAAUGAUAGCAUUCAGUUGACUGCCCCAACGAAGUGAAUCUAAGUAAGCCUUUUGAGCUUCCUGCGGCGAAGAAAAUGUCAGGUAAGCUCUCAUACUAUCCUUCCAAGUAAUAAUUAGAUCAGGUUGUUUAAAAUAACUUCUUAAAACGCGUUCUGUAAGAUAAAGUCCUUGUGCACUUAAAAUGUACGUAGAAUGACUUUCAACAACUUCUACUGGACGUUCAAUAUGCUUAGAUAAAGAAACAGUAUUUUUCUCUUCCAUUCUUCAAAACUUUUGGUACCAAAUAAGCUAAAACUACAACUUCAAUGAAUAUUGAAGGUAUCCAUGCUAAGAGUAUAGGGUAAAUACUAAGUAGCCGUUUUUUUAUUGUUGAUCAGCGUGAACAAGAUUGCCAAUUUUCAAUCAUUUAUAGCCCAAAUAUCUUAAGACCACUAGAAUUAGGCUCCGAUACAGCAUAUGCUAAAAUAUGUUUUGUUGGAUGCCAAGCUACCUUGUUCAGAGGUCCAUUAGUUGGAAUUUUCCAAAUUUGAUCACCAGUUUUCGUAUCAGCCUUCCAAGUUAGUUUAUUAAAAAGAAUAAAAAUAAGAAACGGUUUCAAACAUCCUGAAAUACUUACGAUAUCCACAUAGCGGUCCUCUGAUCCACUAGCUAAAUAGCGACUGUCAUAACUAAAGCUUAAUGUACGGAUGGGAUAACUUUUUAGAAGUUAGCGACCAAAAAAUUUAAAAGAAACUACAUACUCCAUUCUAGUAAUCGACCGUUCACAAAUCAGUUCUUGUGGAUCCCAUAAACUAGUAAUUGCAUCUGCACCACCAAUGGCAAGGUGCCUGUUAUCCGGACUGAAUUCAAUACAGAAACAAUUUGAGUUAUGCGCCUUUAUAUCGUAAACUCUUUUUAGAGAAGGCCAUUCCAUAAUUUGCACCGUGCCAAGUCCUGUAGUCAUGAAAAACAAAUCUUCACUGAAUGACCAACA
This is a non-coding RNA of Schizosaccharomyces pombe (fission yeast), 1500 nucleotides long. The record is from the annotation of a GenBank genome assembly. NCBI's taxonomy places the organism in Eukaryota, Fungi, Ascomycota, Schizosaccharomycetes, Schizosaccharomycetales, Schizosaccharomycetaceae.